AAUGAACGUUGGCGGCGUGGAUUAGGCAUGCAAGUCGAGCGAGAAUCUUAAAGUGGAAGCUUCGGCCGAAGCUUUAAGAGGACAGCGGCAAACGGGGUAGUAAGGCGUAGGUUACGUACCCUCAGGACCGGGAUAGCCACGGGAAACUGUGAGUAAUACCGGAUAAUCUCUGCGGAGCAAAUGGUGUGAUUCCGCCUGAGGAGCGGCUUACGUGAUACUAGGUAGUUGGUGGGGUAAUGGCCUACCAAGCCUCAGAUGUCUAGGGGGUGUGAGAGCAUGGCCCCCACCACUGGGACUGAGACACUGCCCAGACACCUACGGGUGGCUGCAGUCGAGAAUCUUCCACAAUGGGCGAAAGCCUGAUGGAGCGACGCCGCGUGCGGGAUGAAGGCCCUUGGGUUGUAAACCGCUGUCAGAGGGGAUGAAAUCCUUGGGGGCUAUCCCCUUGGUUGACAGAGCCUCAGAGGAAGCACGGGCUAAGUUCGUGCCAGCGCCGCGGUAA
This 502-nucleotide ribosomal RNA is filed under the name uncultured bacterium. RNAcentral describes it as "bacterial SSU rRNA". It matches the Rfam family "Bacterial small subunit ribosomal RNA", at positions 29 to 523 of the family's 1533-position model. The record is from RNAcentral.